GGCCGUAUGGCUGACGGACAUCGCGACCCUGCAAGGCUUGCCCUGGACGCUGGUUGUACCCGGCCAUGGCCC
This 72-nucleotide transfer RNA is filed under the name Pseudomonas sp. ACN8. RNAcentral's name for it is "tRNA-Cys". Lineage: Bacteria; Pseudomonadati; Pseudomonadota; Gammaproteobacteria; Pseudomonadales; Pseudomonadaceae. The record is from RNAcentral.